UACGUAGGUGGCGAGCGUUGUCCGGAUUUACUGGGCGUAAAGGGCGUGCAGGCGGUUUGUUAAGUGCAGGGUGAAAGCUCCCGGCUCAACUGGGAGAGGUCCUUGCAUACUGGCGAACUCGAGGGAGGCAGAGGAAAGUGGAAUUCCCGGUGUAGUGGUGAUAUGCGUAGAUAUGAGGAGGAACACCGGUGGUGUAGACGGCUCGCUGGGACGGUACUGACGCUGAGACGCGAAAGCGUGGGGAGCAAACAGG
RNAcentral lists this ribosomal RNA (253 nucleotides) under uncultured bacterium. RNAcentral describes it as "partial 16S ribosomal RNA". It matches the Rfam family "Bacterial small subunit ribosomal RNA", at positions 524 to 776 of the family's 1533-position model. The record is from RNAcentral.